This 229-nucleotide unclassified non-coding RNA is filed under the name Hevea brasiliensis (rubber tree). The record is from RNAcentral. Lineage: Eukaryota; Viridiplantae; Streptophyta; Magnoliopsida; Malpighiales; Euphorbiaceae.
AAUUGGGCCAGAAGCCCACAAAUAAACCCUAGAGCUAUAGUGAAGAAGAAAGAGACGGUAGCUCCUCCACACUUCGCCUGGAAGAAGACGCUCAAGUUGUCGAUCAUACCUGACAAACAAGCUCAACCCUAAAGUUAUCUUUCAUGGAAUAAGCAAGCCUCCCAAAAAAGCUAAGAACCAUAAACUCUGACGAUUUGUAGAGGAAGUCGAUGGCCAGAGCUUCUACAAC